UGUAAUUUCCAAUCGACCUCUAAAUACUUA
This 30-nucleotide non-coding RNA is filed under the name Rattus norvegicus (Norway rat). The record is from RNAcentral. Lineage: Eukaryota; Metazoa; Chordata; Mammalia; Rodentia; Muridae.